UACAGAGACCUCAAGCGUUAUCCGGAAUCAUUGGGCGUAAAGCGUACCGAUAGGUGGUUAUACAAGUCAGAUGUGAAAUCUCCGAGCUCAACUCGGAAUCUGUCAUUUGAAACUGUAUGACUAGAGGGGCAAAGAGGAAGCUAGAACGAACGGUGUAGUAGUGAAAUGCGUUGAUAUCGUUCGGAAUACCGAUAGCGAAGGCAGGCUUCUGGGUGCCACCUGACACUGCUAGGACGAAAGCGUGGGGAGCGAAUGGG
This 257-nucleotide ribosomal RNA is filed under the name uncultured bacterium. Its description in RNAcentral is "partial 16S ribosomal RNA". It matches the Rfam family "Bacterial small subunit ribosomal RNA", at positions 524 to 776 of the family's 1533-position model. The record is from RNAcentral.